Molecule: transfer RNA, 85 nt
Filed under: Pseudomonadota bacterium
Lineage: Bacteria; Pseudomonadati; Pseudomonadota
Also listed under: 1 other name
Description: tRNA-Leu
Rfam family: tRNA
About the family: Transfer RNA (tRNA) molecules are approximately 80 nucleotides in length. Their secondary structure includes four short double-helical elements and three loops (D, anti-codon, and T loops).
Source: RNAcentral
GCCGAGGUGGCGAAAUUGGUAGACGCACUAGACUUAGGAUCUAGCGGGUAAAACCGUGCGAGUUCGAGUCUCGCCCUCGGCACCA